GUGGAUGUUGUGUAACGGUAGCAUAACAGCUUGUGGCGCUGUUGGAGUGGGUUCGACUCCCACCUUCCACU
RNAcentral lists this transfer RNA (71 nucleotides) under Candidatus Pacearchaeota archaeon. RNAcentral describes it as "tRNA-His". It matches the Rfam family "tRNA". From Rfam's summary of the family: Transfer RNA (tRNA) molecules are approximately 80 nucleotides in length. The record is from RNAcentral. Lineage: Archaea; Nanobdellati.